UUGUGCCCUUCAGAUCAAUGCUUAGGUUGGUCGAGCCACACUCAGACCUGAACAGUUAUUUAUUGGAUAUGCUUAGUGUAGUUAUGUUAAUGGUUGGAUCUAAUAAGGAUUUUAAAUAGAUGCACCACACGCCUGCUGAAGAGAUGCCUGGGGUAAAAUCUAAUUGCUAGAACUUGUUUAGAGAAAUAAUUGAUUAUGAACCUACUUAUGGAUAUACUAGAGUUGGUCGAGCUAC
This 235-nucleotide long non-coding RNA is filed under the name Elaeis guineensis (African oil palm). Its description in RNAcentral is "long non-coding RNA (EGUI_LNC032181)". Lineage: Eukaryota; Viridiplantae; Streptophyta; Magnoliopsida; Arecales; Arecaceae. The record is from RNAcentral.